GGUUAAGCGACUAAGCGUACACGGUGGAUGCCCUGGCAGUCAGAGGCGAUGAAGGACGUGCUAAUCUGCGAUAAGCGUCGGUAAGGUGAUAUGAACCGUUAUAACCGGCGAUUUCCGAAUGGGGAAACCCAGUGUGAUUCGUCACACUAUCAUUAACUGAAUCCAUAGGUUAAUGAGGCGAACCGGGGGAACUGAAACAUCUAAGUACCCCGAGGAAAAGAAAUCAACCGAGAUUCCCCCAGUAGCGGCGAGCGAACGGGGAGCAGCCCAGAGCCUGAAUCAGUGUGUGUGUUAGUGGAAGCGUCUGGAAAGGCGCGCGAUACAGGGUGACAGCCCCGUACACAAAAAUGCACAUGCUGUGAGCUCGAUGAGUAGGGCGGGACACGUGGUAUCCUGUCUGAAUAUGGGGGGACCAUCCUCCAAGGCUAAAUACUCCUGACUGACCGAUAGUGAACCAGUACCGUGAGGGAAAGGCGAAAAGAACCCCGGCGAGGGGAGUGAAAAAGAACCUGAAACCGUGUACGUACAAGCAGUGGGAGCCUCUUUAUGGGGUGACUGCGUACCUUUUGUAUAAUGGGUCAGCGACUUAUAUUCUGUAGCAAGGUUAACCGAAUAGGGGAGCCGAAGGGAAACCGAGUCUUAACUGGGCGUUAAGUUGCAGGGUAUAGACCCGAAACCCGGUGAUCUAGCCAUGGGCAGGUUGAAGGUUGGGUAACACUAACUGGAGGACCGAACCGACUAAUGUUGAAAAAUUAGCGGAUGACUUGUGGCUGGGGGUGAAAGGCCAAUCAAACCGGGAGAUAGCUGGUUCUCCCCGAAAGCUAUUUAGGUAGCGCCUCGUGAAUUCAUCUCCGGGGGUAGAGCACUGUUUCGGCAAGGGGGUCAUCCCGACUUACCAACCCGAUGCAAACUGCGAAUACCGGAGAAUGUUAUCACGGGAGACACACGGCGGGUGCUAACGUCCGUCGUGAAGAGGGAAACAACCCAGACCGCCAGCUAAGGUCCCAAAGUCAUGGUUAAGUGGGAAACGAUGUGGGAAGGCCCAGACAGCCAGGAUGUUGGCUUAGAAGCAGCCAUCAUUUAAAGAAAGCGUAAUAGCUCACUGGUCGAGUCGGCCUGCGCGGAAGAUGUAACGGGGCUAAACCAUGCACCGAAGCUGCGGCAGCGACACUAUGUGUUGUUGGGUAGGGGAGCGUUCUGUAAGCCUGCGAAGGUGUACUGUGAGGUAUGCUGGAGGUAUCAGAAGUGCGAAUGCUGACAUAAGUAACGAUAAAGCGGGUGAAAAGCCCGCUCGCCGGAAGACCAAGGGUUCCUGUCCAACGUUAAUCGGGGCAGGGUGAGUCGACCCCUAAGGCGAGGCCGAAAGGCGUAGUCGAUGGGAAACAGGUUAAUAUUCCUGUACUUGGUGUUACUGCGAAGGGGGGACGGAGAAGGCUAUGUUGGCCGGGCGACGGUUGUCCCGGUUUAAGCGUGUAGGCUGGUUUUCCAGGCAAAUCCGGAAAAUCAAGGCUGAGGCGUGAUGACGAGGCACUACGGUGCUGAAGCAACAAAUGCCCUGCUUCCAGGAAAAGCCUCUAAGCAUCAGGUAACAUCAAAUCGUACCCCAAACCGACACAGGUGGUCAGGUAGAGAAUACCAAGGCGCUUGAGAGAACUCGGGUGAAGGAACUAGGCAAAAUGGUGCCGUAACUUCGGGAGAAGGCACGCUGAUAUGUAGGUGAAGCGACUUGCUCGUGGAGCUGAAAUCAGUCGAAGAUACCAGCUGGCUGCAACUGUUUAUUAAAAACACAGCACUGUGCAAACACGAAAGUGGACGUAUACGGUGUGACGCCUGCCCGGUGCCGGAAGGUUAAUUGAUGGGGUUAGCGGUAACGCGAAGCUCUUGAUCGAAGCCCCGGUAAACGGCGGCCGUAACUAUAACGGUCCUAAGGUAGCGAAAUUCCUUGUCGGGUAAGUUCCGACCUGCACGAAUGGCGUAAUGAUGGCCAGGCUGUCUCCACCCGAGACUCAGUAAAAUUGAACUCGCUGUGAAGAUGCAGUGUACCCGCGGCAAGACGGAAAGACCCCGUGAACCUUUACUAUAGCUUGACACUGAACAUUGAGCCUUGAUGUGUAGGAUAGGUGGGAGGCUUUGAAGUGUGGACGCCAGUCUGCAUGGAGCCGACCUUGAAAUACCACCCUUUAAUGUUUGAUGUUCUAACGUUGGCCCCUGAUCGGGGUUGCGGACAGUGUCUGGUGGGUAGUUUGACUGGGGCGGUCUCCUCCUAAAGAGUAACGGAGGAGCACGAAGGUUGGCUAAUCCUGGUCGGACAUCAGGAGGUUAGUGCAAUGGCAUAAGCCAGCUUGACUGCGAGCGUGACGGCGCGAGCAGGUGCGAAAGCAGGUCAUAGUGAUCCGGUGGUUCUGAAUGGAAGGGCCAUCGCUCAACGGAUAAAAGGUACUCCGGGGAUAACAGGCUGAUACCGCCCAAGAGUUCAUAUCGACGGCGGUGUUUGGCACCUCGAUGUCGGCUCAUCACAUCCUGGGGCUGAAGUAGGUCCCAAGGGUAUGGCUGUUCGCCAUUUAAAGUGGUACGCGAGCUGGGUUUAGAACGUCGUGAGACAGUUCGGUCCCUAUCUGCCGUGGGCGCUGGAGAACUGAGGGGGGCUGCUCCUAGUACGAGAGGACCGGAGUGGACGCAUCACUGGUGUUCGGGUUGUCAUGCCAAUGGCACUGCCCGGUAGCUAAAUGCGGAAGAGAUAAGUGCUGAAAGCAUCUAAGCACGAAACUUGCCCCGAGAUGAGUUCUCCCUGACUCCUUGAGAGUCCUGAAGGAACGUUGAAGACGACGACGUUGAUAGGCCGGGUGUGUAAGCGCAGCGAUGCGUUGAGCUAACCGGUACUAAUGAACCGUGAGGCUUAACCUU
RNAcentral lists this ribosomal RNA (2904 nucleotides) under Escherichia coli. RNAcentral's name for it is "23S ribosomal RNA". It matches the Rfam family "Bacterial large subunit ribosomal RNA". Lineage: Bacteria; Pseudomonadati; Pseudomonadota; Gammaproteobacteria; Enterobacterales; Enterobacteriaceae. The record is from RNAcentral.